RNAcentral lists this transfer RNA (74 nucleotides) under Saccharolobus sp. Its description in RNAcentral is "tRNA-Trp". It matches the Rfam family "tRNA". From Rfam's summary of the family: Transfer RNA (tRNA) molecules are approximately 80 nucleotides in length. Their secondary structure includes four short double-helical elements and three loops (D, anti-codon, and T loops). Further hydrogen bonds mediate the characteristic L-shaped molecular structure. tRNAs have two regions of fundamental functional importance: the anti-codon, which is responsible for specific mRNA codon recognition, and the 3' end, to which the tRNAs corresponding amino acid is attached (by aminoacyl-tRNA synthetases). tRNAs cope with the degeneracy of the genetic code in two manners: having more than one tRNA (with a specific anti-codon) for a particular amino acid; and 'wobble' base-pairing, i.e. permitting non-standard base-pairing at the 3rd anti-codon position. The record is from RNAcentral. Lineage: Archaea; Thermoproteati; Thermoproteota; Thermoprotei; Sulfolobales; Sulfolobaceae.
GGGCCCGUAGCUUAGCCAGGUAGAGUGCUGGGCUCCAGACCCAGUGGUCCGGGGUUCGAGUCCCCGCGGGCCCA